CCAAUGCCUAGGAAUCUGCCUGGUAGGGGGGAUAACGUUCGGAAACGGAGGCUAAUACCGCAUACGUCCUACGGGGGAAAGCAUGGGACCUUCCGGCCUUGCGCUAUCAGAUGACCCUAGGUCGGAUUACCUGAUUGGUGGGGUAAUGGCUCACCUUGGCCACGAUCCGUAACUGGUCUGAGAGGAUGAUGACUCACACUGGAACUGAGACACGGUCCACACUCCUACGGGAGGCAGCAGUGGGGAAUAUUGGACAAUGGGCGAAAGCCUGAUCCAGCCCUGCCGCGUGUGUGAAGAAGGUCUUCGGAUUGUAAAGCACUUUAAGUUGGGAGGAAGGGCAGUAAAUUAAUACUUUGCUGUUUUGACGUUACCGACAAAAUAAGCACCGGCUAACUCUGUGCCAGCAGCCGCGGUAAUACAGAGGGUGCAAGCGUUAAUCGGAAUUACUGGGCGUAAAGCGCGCGUAGGUGGUUAGUUAAGUUGGAUGUGAAAUCCCCGGGCUCAACCUGGGAACUGCAUUCAAAACUGACUGACUAGAGUAUGGUAGAGGGUGGUGGAAUUUCCUGUGUAGCGGUGAAAUGCGUAGAUAUAGGAAGGAACACCAGUGGCGAAGGCGACCACCUGGACUGAUACUGACACUGACGUGCGUACGCGUGAGGAGCCAACACGAUCAGAUACACUGGUAGUCCACGCCGUAGACUAUGUCUACUAGGCUGUGGGAGCCUUGAUCUCUUAC
RNAcentral lists this ribosomal RNA (736 nucleotides) under Pseudomonas sp. RNAcentral's name for it is "bacterial SSU rRNA". It matches the Rfam family "Bacterial small subunit ribosomal RNA", at positions 110 to 843 of the family's 1533-position model. The record is from RNAcentral. Lineage: Bacteria; Pseudomonadati; Pseudomonadota; Gammaproteobacteria; Pseudomonadales; Pseudomonadaceae.